Molecule: long non-coding RNA, 3670 nt
Filed under: Sus scrofa (pig)
Lineage: Eukaryota; Metazoa; Chordata; Mammalia; Artiodactyla; Suidae
Description: lncRNA (ENSSSCG00035010659.1)
Source: RNAcentral
AUUUUUUAUGAAAUUAAUUUUGUAGAGUUCAAAUGCGUAGUUUUAUAGAAUGAAAGAUAUUCUAGAUAUUUUCCAGUUAUCUCUUUUUUUUUCCCACAAGAAUCUUAUACAAUAAUCUGUGUACCUCUUAUUAUUCAUGUGUGAGGUCAAAUACUUACACAUGAGUAUUCCACAAUUGAAGAUAUUAAAUUUGAAGAUUUUUCUAAGUGUUGACCACAGAUAUCCCUAUUUUUAAAGGAACAUAUAUGUUUUCUUUUGCGACAAGUAACUUUGAAGGUACUUUGAGACAAUGUGAAUAAUCUCUUCUCCAACAAACUUUAACCUAGUAGUUUUAGUACCCAUUGAUUAUCAUUGUAUUAUCACUGAAUUCCAUGAUUUAUGGAAGCCCUUGAAGUAAAGAUUAACCCCUAAAUAUACAUAUACAUAGUCAGACAUCUAGACAUUUUAAACACUUUAUCUAAUGGAAGAAGCAUAUAAACAAUACAUAAUUCCAAGGACUUAUUUUAAUGCCUAUGUUGUUUCCAUUGCUAAAAAUUUUAUAUUACUCUUCAUAAAAGCCAGUCUCUAAGUCACUCAAGUUUAAUAAACAUGUAAAUGAUGAUCAAAAUAUACACUACCUGAAGAUCACUCAUUUUGUUCAAGUUUAAGCCUAUCAUUAGGUAAUUGCUAUAAAGUUAUAUUACCUUUGUAUUUCCUUUAUAUAAUUUGAUUGAAUUUCAUUGAAUUAAUAUGUAAUGAGUUUUCUGAUAUUAGAAAAUAGUGACUAUAGGUUGAAAUAAUCAGUCUUCUUUUGGUUUCUCAUCAUUAACAGAUUAUUGUUUUCCAUUCUUCACCCUUGAAUAUCUUUUUUCUUUUUUUUUUUUCUUUUUUUUUUUUUUUUUUUUUUUUUUUUAUUGGCUGCACUUGCGGCAUAUAGAAAUUCCCAGGCCAGGGAUCAAGGGAUCAAAUCUGAGCCACAGGUGCAACCCAUGGCAUACCUGCCACAACACAGGAUCCCUAACCCACUACACCAGGCCAGGGUUCAAAUCCACACCUCAAACCCAAUGCCUGCACAGACAGCACAGGAUCCCUUGUGCACCACAGCAGGAAUUCAUCAAAUAUCUUACUUUAAAAUUCAAACAAACAGGAACAUUUAUCUGUGUACUUUAAAUAGGAAGUAGGUGUGACAUGGGAAUGAUAUUUGUUUACCACAUGUGAAUGCGAUUAUUUGGGGAAUUUAAAAAUACACUUCAUGGAACAAAAGUCAUUCAAUAAUAGAAACAUCAUGAAAUGCCUACUUCAAGAAACCUGAGUUUUAGAAAUAAUGUAUUUUGUUCAAUAAAAACAAUUCUAUUCUGAUCUGCCUAACACUGGAAAUCAACAUUUAAUUUCAGGAUUGUGAACAAUAAACAAAUAAAUAUAAUAGGAAGGUAGAAAUUUCUUCCUUUUCUUCUUUUCUCCUCUCCUCACCUUUCCUUUUUCCACAGAUUACUGAGCAAUAGAAAAUGAAAAAGAAAAUAUGAAUAUUUCAAUGAAUAAGAACUUAUUUAUCAAAUGAGUAUAAUACAUCAAUCACAAUGGUAAACAUUCUUAUUAAAGGCAGAAUCCCUUUUAAUUUUCACAAUAACUCUUUAUGGUGGAUGCUAUUUCUCUACCCGUUUUACAUAGAAACUGAGGACUAGAGAAUGUAGUGGUAUUUUUUAUUGCAACCUGCUUAUUCCUUCUCAAAAGAGUAACAAUUUUGAUGUUAUCUACUCUUCAUCUGUGAGUCUAUUCCACACUCAUUUAUUUGAAUUGGACAGACAUCAGUAAUUCUAUAUGAACCAUUCCUUAAUUCUUAAGUCAUGAAGAGAAAUUGGAAGCUUCUGGAAAAUAUUUACUUGCUAAUAGGAGAAAGCACAGGAAGGAAUGUUUUAACUUCUUCCUCUGAAUAUGAUUGUGUCUUGGUAACAACAGGAUUAUCUGUAGCCAUUGGCUGCAGUGAUGAUGAAAUUGACUAUAAGCAUGAUAGAUUACAGAGAUGAGAAAAAAAAAAACAAAACAAACCUGCAUCCUCGAUGGUAUUUCAAAGACACUGAUUAAAUCUGUCCAAAAAGCCAUGCUGUUGUCUAAUGAAGUUUAAGUCCAUUUGAAUUGGGGUUUCUUUUAUUUGCAACCGAAAGUAGCCUAAUUGAAAGAGGUUGUUUAAUAUAAUUCAGAGUUCUCCAAAAAAAACAAAAACAAAAACCCAGACCUAAAAGGAUGGAGAGAGACAGACAGAAGGAGAGAGAGAUGAUAGAUAUGUAGAUUUAGAUGUAUAGAUUAGACUUAUUAUAAGGAGUUGGCUCACAUAAUUAUGGAGGCUGGCCAAGUCCCAAGGUCUGCAGGAUGAGUCAGAAAGCAGAAGACCCAGGAAAGCUGGUGGUUUAAUUACAGUUUGAAGGCCAGCAGGCUGGAGACCCAGGGUGAGCUGAUGUUCCAGUUUAAAUCUGAGGGCAGGAAAAAAGCCAAUGUCCCAGUUCUAAGGCUGUCAAGUAAGAGGAAUUCUCUCUUACUUGAGGAAGAACGAGUAUUUUUGUUCUAUUAAAGACUUCAAUUGACUGGAUGAGGCCUACUCACAUUAUGGAGGACAAUCUGCUUUACCCAGAUUUCAGAUUUAAAGUUUAACUUUAUCCAAAAACACCAUCCCAGGAAGACUCAAAAUAAUGCUUAAGCAAAUAUCUGGCACUGUGGGACCUGGUCAAACUGACACACAAAAUUAAUCAUCACAGAGGUGUUAAAAGUUCACAAUGCUGUCAGUAGAAGAGAUAAGAUUUGAACCCAGGUGCUCUAUCUCAAGGGCUUCUGCUUACAAACACUAGGACAUAUUGACAUAAUUCCUUCAGAGAGAAAGAAAAGCUACUUUUUCCUAGGGUGAAAUGUAAAUAACCCUGAAAGUUAUCUCUAAUAAAAAUUACUAUGAAAGUUAGCUUUCUAGUUGGCUAAAAUAUCCCACCAUUGUCAUAACUACCAAAUAAUUUUCUUAAGAAGUAUUUUGUGAGUAGCUGGUUAAUUUUAUUUAGAAGUUGAGAGGGCAGAGUCAAUGUUACUUCAACAGGCUUCAAAGCCUUAGUGACUAGAAUGAUGACAAUGUUAAGAAAUAAUUCAAGUGUUUUGAUGGGGAAAUUCAAUCUUAGGUUCUAGUGACAGAUGCAUAUAGAGAUAUUCAAUAGACAGUAGAUAACCUAGAGUUCAGUUGAAAGAUUAAAACUAGAUAUAUAAAUCUGUGGUUACACGAUCUACUCUUUUUCAUGACUUUAAUGUAUAUGAUAUAUAUUAUAUAUAAUAUGUUUUAUAUAUAUAACACCUUGAUUGAGAUAUAAUUCAAAUACUAUUUGAAGUAAACAAUUCAAUAGUUUCCAACAUACUGAGUUGUGCAAUUCUUCUCUACAGUCAAUUUUAGAACAUUUUCAUUACCUGAAAAAAAGAAACCCUGGACCCAGUAGCAGUCACUUUCCAUUUCUUCCCAACCCAUGACAAUAGGCUUCUACUAAUCACCAUUUGUAAAGGUAUCUCCCUGGUACCAGGGAGAGGAAGAUGGCCAAAUUUUUAGAAAUUCUUUUCAAUAGAGGAGGUAAAGACUUAAAUCUGGAUCACAAUCACCCUUGUUUUCUCUGCUUUUCUCAUAAUUGACUCCCUACCCUUAACAUCCUCUUUUGUCUUUAGCUGAAGA